This is a long non-coding RNA of Mustela lutreola (European mink), 670 nucleotides long. RefSeq lists it as uncharacterized. NCBI's taxonomy places the organism in Eukaryota, Metazoa, Chordata, Mammalia, Carnivora, Mustelidae. The record is from RefSeq and is a predicted model, not a curated record. The transcript is spliced from 3 exons.
ACAAGUCGCCAACAAGAGGUGAGAUAUUCAAUGUCAAGAGACAGACUCCAGGUCAUUGGGCUUGAAAAGGACCUUAGCUGUUGCCUCAACCAGCGUGUCCCCACCUGAGCAUCCUGCAAGUGAGGAACUGAGACCCAGACAGGUCCUAAGUCCACUCAAGGAAAGUACAGCCCUUUUUCAAAGCUCUCGGCACAGAGAUAUCCUGCCACGUGUCACUGACUCACAGGGGCAGAUCAAAGCUAUUCUUACAUCCAUCCCUUCAACUUGACCUGAGAAAUAAAGAAAGCUGAAGGCAAAAGGGGACCCGUCAAACUCGGAGACUGUAAACGUCUCCAGGAGCAUUUUCUCGGUGACCAGAUGUUACACAGCUGCAUUGCAAAUUGUCGUCAGAGCUCAAAAGACAAGGGAAGAGAGGAUUGUUGGAACCACGAAGGCAUAUGACACAGUAAACGGUGCAUUUAAUUUCGACUUAAUGGGAGAGAUAGCGUGCAUUAGACAAAUACCAUCUGAUCAUUAAAAACAUAUUUAUGGAAGUAUAGCAACUUUGUCAGGGAUGUGUGACUAAUCACACCGAGCUGUGAGUCCUCAAAAACAUAUUUGUCUUAAUCGACUGGUGUUUAGUUUGGAUUAUUGACUGUUAAAUCAAAAUAGAAGUUUUCACUUGAGAUUU